UGGGGAAUAUUGCACAAUGGAGGGAACUCUGAUGCAGCGACGCCGCGUGAACGAAGAAGGCUUUCGAGUCGUAAAGUUCUUUUAUAUGGGAAGAUAAUGACGGUACCAUAAGAAAAAGCCCUGGCUAACUACGUGCCAGCAGCCGCGGUAAUACGUAGGGGGCUAGCGUUGUCCGGAAUCACUGGGCGUAAAGGGUUCGCAGGCGGAAAUGCAAGUCAGGUGUAAAAGGCAGUAGCUUAACUACUGUAAGCAUUUGAAACUGCAUAUCUUGAGAAGAGUAGAGGUAAGUGGAAUUUUUAGUGUAGCGGUGAAAUGCGUAGAUAUUAAAAAGAAUACCGGUGGCGAAGGCGACUUACUGGGCUCAUUCUGACGCUGAGGAACGAAAGCGUGGGUAGCAAACAGG
Molecule: ribosomal RNA, 403 nt
Filed under: Verrucomicrobiota bacterium
Lineage: Bacteria; Pseudomonadati; Verrucomicrobiota
Also listed under: 1 other name
Description: Verrucomicrobia bacterium partial 16S ribosomal RNA
Rfam family: Bacterial small subunit ribosomal RNA
Source: RNAcentral